UACGAAGGGGGCUAGCGUUGCUCGGAAUCACUGGGCGUAAACGGUGCGUAGGCGGGUUAUUAAGUCAGAGGUGAAAUCCUGGAGCUCAACUCCAGAACUGCCUUUGAUACUGAUAGUCUUGAGUAUGGGAGAGGUGAGUGGAACUGCGAGUGUAGAGGUGAAAUUCGUAGAUAUUCGCAAGAACACCAGUGGCGAAGGCGGCUCACUGGCCCAUUACUGACGCUGAGACGCGAAAGCGUGGGGAGCGAACAGG
Molecule: ribosomal RNA, 253 nt
Filed under: uncultured bacterium
Lineage: Bacteria
Description: partial 16S ribosomal RNA
Rfam family: Bacterial small subunit ribosomal RNA
Source: RNAcentral